UGGGGAAUAUUGGUCAAUGGGGGAAACCCUGAACCAGCAACGCCGCGUGAAGGAAGAAGGCUUUCGGGUUGUAAACUUCUUUUACCAGGGACGAAAGAAAUGACGGUACCUGGAGAAUAAGCUCCGGCUAACUACGUGCCAGCAGCCGCGGUAAUACGUAGGGAGCUAGCGUUAUCCGGAUUUACUGGGUGUAAAGGGCGCGUAGGCGGGAGAGCAAGUCAGAUGUGAAAUACCGGGGCUCAACCCCGGGGCUGCAUUUGAAACUGUUUUUCUUGAGUGAUGGAGAGGCAAGUGGAAUUCCUAGUGUAGCGGUGAAAUGCGUAGAUAUUAGGAGGAACACCAGUGGCGAAGGCGACUUGCUGGACAUUAACUGACGCUGAGGCGCGAAAGCGUGGGGAGCAAACAGG
RNAcentral lists this ribosomal RNA (407 nucleotides) under uncultured bacterium. Its description in RNAcentral is "bacterial SSU rRNA". It matches the Rfam family "Bacterial small subunit ribosomal RNA", at positions 355 to 776 of the family's 1533-position model. The record is from RNAcentral.